UUCGUCGCUGUUUCCGUCGGUGCCAACAUCUCCGGCGGCCACGUCAACCCCGCCGUCACCUUCGGUGCCUUCCUUGGCGGCAACAUCACCCUCAUCCGCGGCAUCCUCUACUGGAUCGCCCAGCUCCUCGGCUCCACCGUCGCCUGCUUACUUCUCCGUUACACCACCGGCCUCCCCACCGGUACCUUCGCCCUUGUUGAGGGAGUCAGCGUCUGGAACGGCCUGGUACUUGAAAUCGUCAUGACUUUCGGGCUGGUCUACACCGUCUACGCCACCGCUAUUGACCCGAAGAAGGGUAACAUUGGUACGAUUGCCCCGAUCGCCAUUGGUUUCAUCGUCGGCGCUAACAUUCUUGUCGGUGGGGCUUUCAGCGGUGCCUCGAUGAACCCGGCCAUCGCUUUUGGCCCGGCCUUGGUUAGCUGGAGCUGGGCGAGCCACUGGGUGUACUGGGCUGGUCCGCUCAUCGGUGGUGCUCUUGCUGGGAUAGUCUAUGAGAUCUUCUUCAUUGAUCAUCAUUCGCACGAGCCGCUCCCCUCCGCCGACUAUUGAUCGAAUCGAGAUCUUUGAGUUUGGAGUUUAAAUUUCGUUAUGGUCUUUGUUUUGUUAUUUGCUUUGAAGUUGUUUCAUCGUCCUGCGUUUGUUUGGAGAAUUUGUGAGAGGAGUAGGUGUUCUCUCAGUGUAUAAUGUUGAGCAUUCCGGUGGUGGUGAAGGUGAUGCAGUGAUGUUGCUCUUGUUUUUCUAUACUUGGUUUGUAUUUUUGCUAUUCUUGGAUUGUGUUUUGGUAUGAAUGAUUGGGG
RNAcentral lists this unclassified non-coding RNA (797 nucleotides) under Hevea brasiliensis (rubber tree). The record is from RNAcentral. Lineage: Eukaryota; Viridiplantae; Streptophyta; Magnoliopsida; Malpighiales; Euphorbiaceae.